UGCAUGGUGCCGACCUUGAAAGACCUCCCUUUAAUGUUUGAUGUUCUUACGUGGUCCCGUAAUCCGGGUUGCGGACAGUGUCUGGUGGGUAGUUUGACUGGGGCGGUCUCCUCCUAAAGAGUUACGGAGGAGCACGAAGGUUGGCUAAUCCUGGUCGGACAUCAGGAGGUUAGUGCAAUGGCUUAAGCCAGCUUGACUGCGAGCGUGACGGCGCGAGCAGGUGCGAAAGCAGGUCAUAG
This 239-nucleotide ribosomal RNA is filed under the name Salmonella enterica subsp. enterica serovar Typhimurium. RNAcentral describes it as "partial 23S ribosomal RNA". It matches the Rfam family "Bacterial large subunit ribosomal RNA", at positions 2177 to 2415 of the family's 2925-position model. Lineage: Bacteria; Pseudomonadati; Pseudomonadota; Gammaproteobacteria; Enterobacterales; Enterobacteriaceae. The record is from RNAcentral.